UACGUAGGGGGCAAGCGUUGUCCGGAUUUACUGGGCGUAAAGAGCGUGUAGGCGGCCACGCAGGUCCGUUGUGAAAACUGGAGGCUCAACCUCCAGCUGUCGACGGAAACCGUGUGGCUAGAGUCCGGAAGAGGAGAGUGGAAUUCCUGGUGUAGCGGUGAAAUGCGCAGAUAUCAGGAAGAACACCAAUGGCGAAGGCAGCUCGCUGGGACGGUACUGACGCUGAGACGCGAAAGCGUGGGGAGCAAACAGG
This 253-nucleotide ribosomal RNA is filed under the name uncultured bacterium. RNAcentral describes it as "partial 16S ribosomal RNA". It matches the Rfam family "Bacterial small subunit ribosomal RNA", at positions 524 to 776 of the family's 1533-position model. The record is from RNAcentral.